This 538-nucleotide ribosomal RNA is filed under the name Palaemon zariquieyi. RNAcentral's name for it is "partial 16S ribosomal RNA". It matches the Rfam family "Bacterial large subunit ribosomal RNA", at positions 1819 to 2625 of the family's 2925-position model. The record is from RNAcentral. Lineage: Eukaryota; Metazoa; Arthropoda; Malacostraca; Decapoda; Palaemonidae.
GUCUGUGUGAUAGUAAAUAUAAAGUCUAGCCUGCCCACUGAUAUUUUAAAGGGCUGCGGUAAUUUGACCGUGCAAAGGUAGCAUAAUCAGUAGUCUCUUAAUUAGAGGCUUGUAUGAACGGUUGGAUGAGAGAAAAGCUGUCUUUUUUAUAAUUUAAAACUUGACUUUUAAGUGAAAAGGCUUAAAUUAUAUAGGGGGACGAUAAGACCCUAUAAAACUUUAUACAUUAUUUAGUUCGUCUUUAAAUUUUAAGUAAAUUAUAGUGAAUUGAUAUGUGUAUUUCGUUGGGGAGACGUUGAUAUAAAUUGUAACUGUCUAAUUAAAAAAUAUAAAUAUGAUUAUGAUGCGAUCCUUCUUUGUGGAUAAAAAGAUUAAGUUACUUUAGGGAUAACAGCGUAAUUCUUUCUGAGAGUUCUUAUCGAAGAAAGUAGUUGCGACCUCGAUGUUGAAUUAAAAUUUCUGUUAGGUGUAGCCGCUUAAUUAGUGGGUCUGUUCGACCUUUAAAAUUUUACAUGAUUUGAGUUCAAACCGGUGUGAG